RNAcentral lists this ribozyme (85 nucleotides) under unclassified sequences. RNAcentral's name for it is "Twister_sister_ribozyme". It matches the Rfam family "Twister_sister_ribozyme". The record is from Rfam by way of RNAcentral.
AAAACCCGCAAGGCCGACGGCACCCCGCCGCCGCUGGUGCAAGUCCAGCCGCCCCCCCGCCGGGGCGGGCGCUCAUGGGUAAACC